CCCUUAGAUGUUCUGGGCCGCACGCGUGCUACACUGAGUGGAUCAGCGGGUCAGGUUGCGCGAAAGUGUUUCCUAAUCUUUAAAUCCGCUCGUGAUGGGGAUUGACGGUUGCAAUUUUCCGUCAUGAACGAGGAAUACCUUGUAAGCGCGGGUCAUCAUCCCGCGCUGAAUACGUCCCUGCCCUUUGUACACACCGCCCGUCGCUCCUACCGAUUGAGUGGUACGGUGAGGCUUUGGGAUCUGAGCGGAAAGAGCGUUUCGCUGUUUCUGCCCGGAAAACUCAGUCGAACCUUAUCAUUUAGAGGAAGGAGAAGUCGUAACA
RNAcentral lists this ribosomal RNA (322 nucleotides) under uncultured eukaryote. RNAcentral's name for it is "partial 18S ribosomal RNA". It matches the Rfam family "Eukaryotic small subunit ribosomal RNA", at positions 1470 to 1796 of the family's 1831-position model. The record is from RNAcentral.